This 4294-nucleotide long non-coding RNA is filed under the name Homo sapiens (human). RNAcentral describes it as "TCF21 antisense RNA inducing promoter demethylation". Lineage: Eukaryota; Metazoa; Chordata; Mammalia; Primates; Hominidae. The record is from RNAcentral.
AGGCAUGCGGGUUUAUUGUUAGAAUUAAUUAAUGGACUAUUAAUAAGAAAUGUAGAUAAUGUAUGCUGCAGAGCUUUGAAAAUCCUGAAACACACCCUAAGGGUUAUGGAAUUUACAUCUUUCAUAGCUUCUAUUAUUUCUUCACUAGUUUGCAGCUAUGCUCACACCUGGAAGGUGACAAAAGGUGGAGUUUACUUUCUCGCCCGUGUCAGCAGUCAUACGGUGGAAUCCAUGAAAAUUGGAUUUCCUUUUUCUGGUGCGUUUUACUCUUGAACUGUAUAACUGUGGAUAACUUUAAUACUGCCCAUUCUUUGUUUUCAGUUAUAUAAUUUCUAUUAGCCUUAAAAGUAACCGAUAUAUUUCUUUUUUAAGGUUUCAGUAUAAAACAUAAUCUGCAUCUUCAUUAUGAAACUCAUAUGCAAUUUUCUUCUAUCUCUAGAAGUUUAGAUUGAGGUUUAAAAGAACCAUUUUCAUUAUCAAGCUUCCCCAUAGUUUCCCACUUUCUUAUUCCAAAUAUUUUUAAAAAUCACUCCAAAUAUCAGAGCUUUUAGCAAUAUAAAGAAAGAUUUAUUUUCAAAAGUAGCAAAACUUGUUUGAAAAAAAUAUAUAUCUUUAAGUGAAUUACUUUAUAAAUGUGACUGUCAAAGUCAGCUAUCCUAUGAUCUACAUUUUACAACAUAUUGUACAAAAGAUACAUUGAUAGGCUCUUAUCUAUUUAUAUAUUUAUAAUUACAUAUUGCACUUGGACCAGCAAGGCUUGCAGAGUCAUUCACGGUAGAAGUUAAUAAAGUUAAAUAGAUGGGAAUCUUUGUAAGUACAAUUGAUCUCCUCUGGUUUGGAAACGAAUCUCCUCGUCGUUGUAAAGUGUUCUCGCGGGGUGGGACAGAGAGAGGAGCAUUGCGAGGGGGAAGCAGAGACAGAGAGCACUGAGGGCAGGGGUCGCCUUCCCGGGGCCCGCUCCCCCCGGGAGCGCGCCUUUCCCAGACUCGCACCUCCAAGGUCAGGACGCGGUGGUUCCACAUAAGCGGCUCGCGGUCACCACUUCUUUCAGGUCACUCUCGGGUUUCCCGGCCACCAUAAAGGGCCACGUCUGCGGGAAAGAAGAGGGUGGAGGAGAGUUGUGAGAAGGAACCCCGAGGACUUCUGCAGCAGAGGAACCGGCUCUCUGUUUCCCCACUCCCAGAGUCGUGGCCGUAGAGGAGGAAAACACGAAUUAAAAUACAGGGAGUAUCAACCGCAUCCUGCCAACACCUCAUAAGACUCCAAGGCUUUACCGAGAUCUUCCACCUUCCCCGGGAUAAAUGAAGACAAGUGCUUCCUAGAAUCUUUAUGGUGAUGGAAAAGUGGAGAUUUAAAUGACCACAUCCACCCUAAGAUUUAUUGUGAGAAUGAUUGAUGUUAUAAACCAGGAAAAGGACUCUUCCCACAGCAGGGAUGACAGAAAUAUCAAGUUGAAGUUGCCUUUGUCUUCACAUACGAAUGACCCAGUACUACAACACAGAAAGUAUAAUAAUUUAAUCUGAGGUUCAAGACAGCAGUGAGAGAACACCCAGCAGGCCUGUUAAAAAUUUCUUCACUAAUUCCUCAACUAGUUUCCUUUGAUUUGCUCUCCCUUUUCUCAGUCUUGGUAAAACAUGAAAGUUAAAGUUAUUUUUAGACUAAAGAGCUAUGUGAAAAUGGGCAUUGGCCAAUACUUUGUGAAAUGUGUGUGUGUGUGUGUGUGUGUGUGUGUAGCUACUAAGAUAUCUGCAAAAUAACUACAAAUAAUUAAUUUGGGCUCUGGAAUGUGAUAAUUAUUAUAAAUCCAAACUAUGGCCUUACUGCAUACAUUAAGCUGUGAUUUUUCUUGUUGGAGCCAUUUUUUUUUCUUUUUGGCUCUGGGUCUCUGUUACACCUUAGUUAAUGGACUGCUCAGGCUGUCUGGGGAGAUAGUAAAAAUCAUAGUAAUAUGUACCACUGAAAAGAUUUCUGUUGUCUGUAUAUUUUUCAAUGUUGGAAACUUAAAAGUACCAAUUUCUGGAAGCAUGUAAAACUAGCCUCAUGUCAUAGGCUGGUUUUUAUGCUUAGCAAUUAUUUUUCUUCAUAGCCAUAUAAGAAAUAAUUAAGUCCCAUGUCCAUUUAUCUUGCAGUAAGACAUUUGGGCUGAGAAAGGCUAGUGGGCUGAUAAUAAAUUUUGGAGUGUUUCUAAAAUUCUGUAAAAGAUGGCUUCCAGUUUGGGAGUAAGAGUCGAAGAAUACUGUUGCUUAUGUAUCUUGAUAUGAAGUCUUGGAGAGAGAAUAUUCAUAUGAAAAAUACUUUUUUUCUUUUAAAAUUUUGUGUCUAUCCCUGCUAAUAAACACUUAGGGACAAAUGGGUGGGAGAAAUGACUUCUUGUUGGAUUCUACUGAGCAAGUCAUUUAAGCUGUAACUUAAGCUGUGCCAAAUUCUCCCAAAAUAUAAACUAUAUUCUGUGAGAAGACAAGCACUUUUGAGAAGCUGUAUUAACCCUUUUGGUAAGUUGACCAUUUCUGUUCCAAAGCACGAAAUAGAAAACUCGUGAUUUGAAAGUAUGAGAUCAUUUCUAAAAGUUCUUACCUGACUUUUAAGAAACAUUUAUGCCCCAGAGGCAUCUGGCCAAUUUGCUGCUCACUUCUAACAAUUUGUUUUGCAAGAGAGACUAUCUUUGAAAGAUUUUAGUGCUAAGGAAAUUUUAUCUCUGAAAGCUGUAAAAUGAAGAUUAGGCAUGGAAUGUACCCUUGAACUUAAAUCCUGGUUUAUCAGCUGAUACAUUUACAGGAAGUUCAAAUUUGAUUCAGUUGCACUUGGAUGGAAUAAUUUGCUUCCUUUUUUAUGAGAAGGAAAACAUCAUAGGCUUCCUUUGAACUGACUUCAUAUGCCAUUACAUAAUCUUUCUCAGGGGAAAAAUAUGCCUUUAAAUUUAAAUGUUAAUCCUUUUCUCUUACUCCUCAUCAUUUGGUCAGGAGACACAGGCUGGCAAAUUGGCAAAACUGCCCAUUCUCUUUUUUCUUCAUUUCUAAUUAGCACCUCCAGAUGUUUUAUUCAUUUUAUUUGAUGGUAACUACCACCACUUCAAAUAUUUGCCAACUUUCUAUGCAAAAAAAAGUUGACGCCUUUUUUUUUUCUUUUUUUGAUGGAGUCUUGCUCUGUCACCCAAGCUGGAGUGCAUCAGCACGAUCUAGGCUAACUGCAACCUCCGCCUCCCAGGUUCAAGAGAUUCUCAUGCCUCAGCCUCCCGAGUAGCUAGAAUUACAGGUGCCUGCCACCAUGCCUAUCUAAUUUUUGUAUUUUUAGUAGAGGUGGGGUUUCACCAUUUUGGCCAGGCUGGUUUCAAACUCCUGAUCUACCCACUUCAGACUCCCAAAGUGCUGGGAUUACAGGCAUGAGCCACCGUGCCCAGCCAGGUGCCUCUUUUUUGAUUUUACAUAAUUAUCUCCAUAUACUUUGUUUGCUGCUGAUUGACUGUUGUCUAUCUCCCGCUUAUAUGCCUAUCAAACUCUGACUUUGUUUCAUUAAAUUUUAACUUUAUUUAAUAAAGUGAGCAUUACCUCUCUUUGCUCAUUCUAAAUUAUAGUGGUGCUGUCCUGUUAUAUUUUGGCAGCCAAAGUGAAUAUGGCACUAGUGAGCUUGGUGGCUAGCUAAGAAGGUCAAUAACAGUGAUGCUGGGUAUUGCUGCUACCUUUACCUGGCACCAGCUGGGAGAUGGUAUAAAUCCUGGAUGGUAUAAAUCCAUUCAGUAAUUAGAAGUCUUCUGCGUGUUCACUAUACCUUAACCCCCUCUUUUCACAUUUAAUUCAGUGAAUUGUAGAUAAGAUGCCACAUUGCUAAGAUUUAAAGGUGGCAAAUAACAACAAUAAAGUCUAGGGAAAGAUUCUGCAUGGUUCUUUGAAUCCAGGAGUUAAUCUUGCAUUUCACAUGUUCCACAAUACAGCUUUGAAAGCAGCCAAGCCUAUGCACUUGAAAGUCAGAAUUUACCCUAAGGUGUAAGUGGGCCAGAGAAAACUCGGGCAGACAAAGAGAGUUAAAAAUUUUGCAAAGCCAGUUUAAUGUCCUCCUAAGUUUUCUAAUACUAGAAUAAUUUUAUUAGACCCUGUCAGUGUUAGGAAAGAGAGAGAAAAGGACUGAGCGACUCCUGAGUCAGGUACCAUGCAGGGACUUUUGCCUCCAUUCUCUCAUUUCAUGUAUUUUCUCUCCUUUCUGUUGGCACUACUAAAGAAAGAGCUGCCACAUGAAAUGAACAGUGUAUUAGAAAUGUAUGCCAGAGGCUUUCCCCUGUAAUAAAGUUUUAGAAAAACUG